RNAcentral lists this ribosomal RNA (253 nucleotides) under uncultured bacterium. RNAcentral describes it as "partial 16S ribosomal RNA". It matches the Rfam family "Bacterial small subunit ribosomal RNA", at positions 524 to 776 of the family's 1533-position model. The record is from RNAcentral.
UACGGGGGGAGCAAGCGUUGUUCGGAUUUACUGGGCGUAAAGGGCGCGUAGGCGGCGUGACAAGUCACUUGUGAAAUCUCCGGGCUUAACUCGGAACGGUCAAGUGAUACUGUCGUGCUAGAGUACAGAAGGGGCAACUGGAAUUCUCGGUGUAGCGGUGAAAUGCGUAGAUAUCGAGAGGAACACCUGCGGCGAAGGCGGGUUGCUGGGCUGAUACUGACGCUGAGGCGCGAAGGCCAGGGGAGCGAACGGG